RNAcentral lists this long non-coding RNA (2738 nucleotides) under Medicago truncatula (barrel medic). Its description in RNAcentral is "long non-coding RNA (MTRU_LNC001178)". The record is from RNAcentral. Lineage: Eukaryota; Viridiplantae; Streptophyta; Magnoliopsida; Fabales; Fabaceae.
AGAAAUUUGAUGAAGACGAAGCACCGCCAACCUUCCAGAGCGUAGGACUAAUCAUCGGAGUAACCGGCAUCGUCGGAAACAGCCUCGCCGAAAUUCUACCUCUAGCAGACACACCAGGCGGUAGAUGGAAAGUCUACGGCGUUGCACGGCGGCCACGACCCUCCUGGAACGCCGAUCAUCCAAUCGAAUACAUCCAAUGCGACAUCACCGAUCCAAACGAAACCCAAACCAAACUCUCCGUUCUCACUGACGUCACACACAUCUUCUACGUCUCUUGGAGUAACCGUCCCUCUGAAGCCGAAAACUGUGAAGUCAACAGCGCAAUGUUACGUAACGUACUCACCGCCGUUAUCCCAAACGCACCGAAUCUCCGCCACGUGUCACUUCAAACCGGUGGAAAACACUAUUUAGGACCGUUUGAUCUGAUCGGGAAGAUUAAUAGUCAUGAGCCGCCGUUCACGGAGGAUUUACCGCGUUUAGAUGCGCCAAAUUUCUAUUACACUCAGGAAGAUAUUUUGUUUGAAGAAACUCAAAAGAAAGAGGGUUUGAGUUGGUCUGUUCAUAGACCUCAAGUUAUAUUUGGAUUUUCACCUUAUAGUUUGAUGAAUCUCGUUGGUACACUUUGUGUUUAUGCUGCAAUUUGCAAGCACGAAGGUGUUCCGUUGAAAUUUCCCGGUACAAAGGGAGCUUGGGAGUCUUAUUCUGUGGCUUCUGAUGCGGAUUUGAUUGCAGAGCAACAUAUUUGGGCCGCAGUGGAUCCUUAUGCUAAGAACGAAGCUUUUAACUGUAGCAAUGGUGAUGUUUUUAGAUGGAAACAACUAUGGAAGGUUUUGGCGGAACAGUUUGGGAUUGAGGAGUAUGGGUUUGACGAGGAAGGUCCUCGUUUGAAGUUGUCGGAGUUGAUGAAGGAUAAGGGUCCUGUUUGGGAUGAGAUUGUGAAGGAGAAUCAACUCGAAGCUACGAAGAUUGAUGAGGUUGGUGAAUGGUGGUUUGUGGAUCUUAUGUUUGGAGGGGAAGGGGCUGUAGAUAGCAUGAAUAAGGCUAAAGAGCAUGGGUUUGUGGGAUUCAGAAACACCAAGAAUUCGCUCAUAAGUUGGAUAGAUAAAACUAGAGCUUACAAGAUUGUUCCAUGAAUGAUGUUUGUGUAAGUAAAACUCGACUUUCUUAAAACUGAAGAGAUUGUGCAUUCAUCCCCGUUUAUCAUUAUGUUGUGUUUGUUGUUACUUUGUUCUACUAUUGAUGUUAUACUUGGGAGAUUAAUUUUGUUUAUGUAAAUGCAUUUGUUUAUGUUUGUAAAGGCUCAAUUUCUGAAAAUUUGUGAUAUAAACGAGUGUUAUACACUUCAACUUGUAAGAAAUUGAGAGAAUCCAACAAGAAUAAUCAAACUUCACUCUUUGACAUUAUGUUAAAAAUUGAAGAGAACAGGACAAGAGUUGAGUUUCAAGGGUAGUCUAUAGAAUGUUAUGUAGUCUUGAUCUUGAUAUGAUAAUACAAAUAAAGGACUUAACUGAUAUUUAUAUAAAUAAUUAUAUAUAAUCCAAUAUAAUGAACCUAAUUGGUGUGUCAAAACUUUAUAGGAAUCCAGUUGCUAAUUACAUUAAUUUGUUAAAUGUUCAUGGUCUAUUACAAGAUAAAUCCUAGUCCCUCCUCUCAAUUUGUUGACAAGCAAAACGGAAUAGGCUUCCUCAUUCCUCCCGUAAUAUGUAUCUCAGAAAACUAUAGCACUACUGUAAUAUUGCAUCAGUUUGAUAUCAUAAGCUGGAGAAGGCUUAUAUGAACAUUUCUAGACCAUUGUUUGGUGGAAAAUAUUAGAACACUUGAUUGAAAAAAUACUGAACUUUUGAAGGGCAGGAAGGCAUAAAUGUAACGUUGUUAGCACUGCAGCCAGAAAGAGCUUUGCCUUACAUGCUGGCGUUAAGUUUUAGUAAAGAGGAUAGAAACUACCAUAAGAAGCUGGUCUUACAUAUACAAAAAUCAUAAAUAAAAUUAUUUGGAUGCACACAACGAUAAAAGAAAUUAAAAGAUGAAAUAAAUCAGGGACACCACUCAACAUCAUUAAAUCAAUUUCUCUUAAAAAAAAGCAUUUGUGUGAGUGUGUCCGAAAGUUAAACACAUAUUUUUUACCUGCCCAUGCUGCCAUAUCUAAUGCUGAAAAUAAUACUAGUACUUCAACAAUUUUAACAAAAAAGACAAUGAAUGGAAAAUAAGCAACAUUUGAUACUAAUUAUAAUGAAGCAGUAGCUGAAAUGUCAUAGUCUGCUAUUAUGUGAUUGGGGCCACUCUACACAAAUCUACAAGUUGAAUAAUGCAAACAAACAUGCAUAUCCUAAAAUACAGUACUCUCAUUAUCUGUGAGGAGCCUUUCUAUAACAUACCAUUAUUUGCCUCUUUGGGGUACUUUCUAUCCUCUUCACAUUCAAUUUGAACUAUGAGCUGGUGGUGGUCUGGAGCUAUCGGCGCUGCCAAGGCAAGGCAACCAUCUCUCUUUACUCUCAUUUUUUAUUUUCACUUGUUAAUAAUUAGUUUCUGUUUAUGCAGAAGAAAUUGGAUGAAGAUGAAGCACCGCAAAGCUUCCAGAAUGUGGCGUUGGUAGUCGGCGUGACUGGCAUUGUUGGCAACAGUCUGGCCGAAAUUCUACCUCUAGCAGACACACCAGGUGGUCGGUGGAAGGUCUAUGGCGUUGCACGGAGGCCACGGCCCUCCUGGAACGCCGAUCACCCAAUCGAAUACAUUCAGCG